UGAACCGCAUGGUUCAAAAGUGAAAGACGGUCUUGCUGUCACUUAUAGAUGGAUCCGCGCUGCAUUAGCUAGUUGGUAAGGUAACGGCUUACCAAGGCAACGAUGCAUAGCCGACCUGAGAGGGUGAUCGGCCACACUGGAACUGAGACACGGUCCAGACUCCUACGGGAGGCAGCAGUAGGGAAUCUUCCGCAAUGGGCGAAAGCCUGACGGAGCAACGCCGCGUGAGUGAUGAAGGUCUUCGGAUCGUAAAACUCUGUUAUUAGGGAAGAACAUAUGUGUCAGUAACUGUGCACAUCUUGACGGUACCUAAUCAGAAAGCCACGGCUAACUACGUGCCAGCAGCCGCGGUAAUACGUAGGUGGCAAGCGUUAUCCGGAAUUAUUGGGCGUAAAGCGCGCGUAGGCGGUUUUUUAAGUCUGAUGUGAAAGCCCACGGCUCAACCGUGGAGGGUCAUUGGAAACUGGAAAACUUGAGUGCAGAAGAGGAAAGUGGAAUUCCAUGUGUAGCGGUGAAAUGCGCAGAGAUAUGGAGGAACACCAGUGGCGAAGGCGACUUUCUGGUCUGUAACUGACGCUGAUGUGCGAAAGCGUGGGGAUCAAACAGGAUUAGAUACCCUGGUAGUCCACGCCGUAAACGAUGAGUGCUAAGUGUUAGGGGGUUUCCGCCCCUUAGUGCUGCAGCUAACGCAUUAAGCACUCCGCCUGGGGAGUACGACCGCAAGGUUGAACUCAAAGGAAUUGACGGGGACCCGCACAAGCGGGGAGCAUGUGGUUUAAUUCGAAGCAACGCGAAGAACCUUACCAAAUCUUGACAUCCUUUGACAACUCUAGAGAUAGAGCCUUCCCCUUCGGGGGACAAAGUGACAGGUGGUGCAUGGUUGUCGUCAGCUCGUGUCGUGAGAUGUUGGGUUAAGUCCCGCAACGAGCGCAACCCUUAAGCUUAGUUGCCAUCAUUAAGUUGGGCACUCUAAGUUGACUGCCGGUGACAAACCGGAGGAAGGUGGGGAUGACGUCAAAUCAUCAUGCCCCUUAUGAUUUGGGCUACACACGUGCUACAAUGGACAAUACAAAGGGCAGCGAAACCGCGAGGUCAAGCAAAUCCCAUAAAGUUGUUCUCAGUUCGGAUUGUAGUCUGCAACUCGACUACAUGAAGCUGGAAUCGCUAGUAAUCGUAGAUCAGCAUGCUACGGUGAAUACGUUCCCGGGUCUUGUACACUCCGCCCGUCACACCACGAGAGUUUGUAACACCCGAAGCCGGUGGAGUAACCUUUUAGGAGCUAGCCGUCGAA
Molecule: ribosomal RNA, 1291 nt
Filed under: Staphylococcus aureus
Lineage: Bacteria; Bacillati; Bacillota; Bacilli; Caryophanales; Staphylococcaceae
Description: bacterial SSU rRNA
Rfam family: Bacterial small subunit ribosomal RNA
Source: RNAcentral